UUUAAAUUUUCCAAAAAUUCCUAUCAUGGAAGAGAUAUGUCAGUAGCAGAAACUUGCAAUAAAGCUAAAUGAAAAACGACACACAUUUAAAGCUGAGCAGACAGGCCUGUAGAUGGACCAGCACACUGGUGGCUGAGGAGGAUAAUGAGGGGCAGCUGGGAAGGCAGCUGAUGAUCAGAGGAAGCCUGCAGACGACUGCUGGGAGGUGAAGGAAGGGACGAGUGCGACAGGAGAUGUUAGAGGACAGGGUAAACUGGAGAAAAGGUGCAAAAUAACUAAGGCGUUGCUGUCAAAAAGUAUAUUUCAUUGGAGGCUGUGGCAGUAAGUAUACACAACAAAAAUAUAAAUGCAACACUUUUGUUUUUGCUCCCAUUUUUUAUGAGAUGAACUCAAAGAUCUAAAACUUUUUCCACAUACACAAUAUCGCCAUUUCUCUCAAAUAUUGUUCACAAAUCUGUCUAAAUCUGAGAUAGUGAGCACUUCUCCUUUGCUGAGAUAAUCCAUCCCACCUCACAGGUGUGCCAAAUCAAGAUGCUGAUUAGACACCAUGAUUAGCACACAGGUGUGCCUUAGACUGCCCACAAUAAAAGGGAGCAAAAACAGAAGUGUUGCAUUUAUAUUUUUGUUGAGUGUAUGUGACCACAUGCACAAUUAGUGCACACACAUCACAACAAAGCUUAAGUGAUGUGCUGCAGUAAUGCGCCAUGUCAUCUUUUCUAAUCUGGGGUUGACUAAUCCUCCAGUGUUCCUGAUCCAAGCAGGUGAACAGAAGCAGAGGCAAACACACGGUAAGAGGAAAUCGUCCCCUCGCCUCUGCUGAUUGUUUGCAGUAUGGACGGCUUGUGUUGACCCUGCAGGGUGGUGGUGAACCCCUGGGGACCAUGUGCACCACCAUCAUGUUUCUCUCCACUCUGGCUUUUGUACUGCGGCAGCGUUUCACCAGCCGAGCCAAGACUUUUCCAAAAGACUUGGAGGAGAAGGAAACGUCCUCAGCGCAGAGUCAAGACCUGGACAAGUGAGACUCACUGUUCUAACAGUAAUCAGAGGUGGGUUUUAGAUGUGGAGGCUGUUCUCAGGUCCAUGGAGAGACAGCUGAAUGCUUCGCUGGAGAAAUAUCCUGACUGUAAAAGUGGAAACCGCUCCGACUGUCCUCCAUCUUCUUUAAGCCUCGGCAGAUCUCGCUCCAGUCAAACAAGCUGAUCCGUAGCGGUGGCUUUAGAUCAGCUUUCAGACAGCGACACUCAACACAAAUCGCCUACUUUUGCCCCAGCCAGACACUCUAAAAUAGAUGGGCUUUGAGCUUGUUGAUGGUUGUGUUUUCUCUUCAACACCAAAGAGGGGGGUAUCAGGAAAGAUUAGAAGCCUGCAGAACCGUAGGCUCUGCAGCAGAUAUGAUAGGCAGCUUUGAUUGAAUCCUGACUGCUACAAACCCUCCUGCAAUGAUCUCUUCACUUAAGAGUUUGUUUGACGUUCGGGGGGGGGGAAGUAAUUUCACACUCGAGCGUAUCAUGACUUAACUGUCCCACAAGCAAUGAAAACUUCCCUUGAAAUGGCUUCUGAAACUUUUUGUCAUUACCAUUGCUGCCGGAGCAGAAAUAAACAAGUGUUUUCUGUGAUGUACA
Acanthochromis polyacanthus (spiny chromis) is the source of this 1622-nucleotide long non-coding RNA. RefSeq lists it as uncharacterized. The transcript has 4 exons. The record is from RefSeq and is a predicted model, not a curated record. NCBI's taxonomy places the organism in Eukaryota, Metazoa, Chordata, Actinopteri, Pomacentridae.